AUUGAACGCUGGCGGCAGGCCUAACACAUGCAAGUCGAGCGGAUGAAGGGAGCUUACUCCUGGAUUCAGCGGCGGACGGGUGAGUAAUGCCUAGGAAUCUGCCUGGUAGUGGGGGAUAACGUCCGGAAACGGGCGCUAAUACCGCAUACGUCCUGAGGGAGAAAGUGGGGGAUCUUCGGACCUCACGCUAUCAGAUGAGCCUAGGUCGGAUUAGCUAGUUGGUGGGGUAAAGGCCUACCAAGGCGACGAUCCGUAACUGGUCUGAGAGGAUGAUCAGUCACACUGGAACUGAGACACGGUCCAGACUCCUACGGGAGGCAGCAGUGGGGAAUAUUGGACAAUGGGCGAAAGCCUGAUCCAGCCAUGCCGCGUGUAUGAAGAAGGUCUUCGGAUUGUAAAGCACUUUAAGUUGGGAGGAAGGGCAGUAAGUUAAUACCUUGCUGUUUUGACGUUACCAACAGAAUAAGCACCGGCUAACUUCGUG
RNAcentral lists this ribosomal RNA (484 nucleotides) under uncultured bacterium. RNAcentral's name for it is "partial 16S ribosomal RNA". It matches the Rfam family "Bacterial small subunit ribosomal RNA", at positions 30 to 507 of the family's 1533-position model. The record is from RNAcentral.